This 494-nucleotide ribosomal RNA is filed under the name uncultured bacterium. RNAcentral's name for it is "partial 16S ribosomal RNA". It matches the Rfam family "Bacterial small subunit ribosomal RNA", at positions 31 to 507 of the family's 1533-position model. The record is from RNAcentral.
GAACGCUGGCGGCGUGCCUAAUACCUGCAAGUCGAGCGAACGGACGAGAAGCUUGCUUCUCUGAUGUUAGCGGCGGACGGGUGAGUAACACGUGGAUAACCUACCUAUAAGACUGGGAUAACUUCGGGAAACCGGAGCUAAUACCGGAUAAUAUUUUGAACCGCAUGGUUCAAAAGUGAAGGACGGUCUUGCUGUCACUUAUAGAUGGAUCCGCGCUGCAUUAGCUAGUUGGUAAGGUAACGGCUUACCAAGGCAACGAUGCAUAGCCGACCUGAGAGGGUGAUCGGCCACACUGGAACUGAGACACGGUCCAGACUCCUACGGGAGGCAGCAGUAGGGAAUCUUCCGCAAUGGGCGAAAGCCUGACGGAGCAACGCCGCGUGAGUGAUGAAGGUCUUCGGAUCGCAAAACUCUGUUAUUAGGGAAGAACAUAUGUGUAAGUAACUGUGCACAUCUUGACGGUACCUAAUCAGAAAGCCACGGCUAACUACGUG